UUUAAGGUGUGACUAUCUGCAUUCCGUCGCUUUGAUUCAGAAGGUUUUAAUUUCCUUUUGGUGAAAUUCUGGAAAAAUCAAGUCAUUUUUACUGUGAGGAAAAAUUUACAGUCAAGGUGUAAUUUGUUAUUGAUUAAUACUCAUUCCAGGAAAAAUUUACAGUCAAGGUGCAAUUUGUUAUUGAUUGAUACUCAUUUCAGGUAAGUAUCAUAGAAAACUCAUUAUACAUCCACCUUAUUUCUGAAUCAAGGAUUACUCAUACAUGUACUCUUGAUAGCCCGUUAUGUUCAAGGUGUCCUUACCCUCGUGUCUACAUGUAUGGUCCUAGCUGUCUAGUUUAAUUUAUACUUAGAGCAAAUUACUUUGGAAAAUCAAUCUUUGUUGUGUACUGCCUGGCUGGUGAUGGGGAAAGGAUUGGGGAGGGGAUGGCACAUCAGAGGUAAACUUUCUAAAUCAUUGAAAAUGAGCCUGAAUCCACCUGGAAAUUAGAAAGGUUAUAACUGUAAAGAAAGAGGAGGAGAUGGAUGACUCCUUCAAUGCUCUGUUUAAGAAAUCAGAUAUCUUUUAAUCAGCAUUUUCACCUUAUAAAAAUAACUUUGAAUUGUUCAGCAAGUGUCAAAAAUAAUUUUGCAUAGACCAACAGAACAACUCUAAAUGGUCUGCAGGCUACAAACAUUAUUUCCAGAUGUAAGCAACAACACAACAUUCUGUUCAAGUGACUAAUCAUCAAAAAUUUAUUUUUAAAGGGGAACUCAAGGCUAAUUUUAACUAUUUUUUGUAUUGAUGUUAACAUAGGAUGGAUCAAUUUGACAGCGAUAAUAUAUAUCGACGAUGAAUGAUUUUAUGAAAAA
Molecule: long non-coding RNA, 851 nt
Organism: Orbicella faveolata
Lineage: Eukaryota; Metazoa; Cnidaria; Anthozoa; Scleractinia; Merulinidae
Source: RefSeq, a predicted model, not a curated record